This 443-nucleotide ribosomal RNA is filed under the name uncultured bacterium. Its description in RNAcentral is "partial 16S ribosomal RNA". It matches the Rfam family "Bacterial small subunit ribosomal RNA", at positions 338 to 795 of the family's 1533-position model. The record is from RNAcentral.
CCUACGGGAGGCAGCAGUGGGGAAUAUUGGACAAUGGGGGGAACCCUGAUCCAGCGACGCCGCGUGAGUGAAGAAGUAUUUCGGUAUGUAAAGCUCUAUCAGCAGGGAAGAAAGAAAUGACGGUACCUGACUAAGAAGCCCCGGCUAACUACGUGCCAGCAGCCGCGGGAAUACGGAGGGGGCAAGCGUUAUCCGGAUUUACUGGGUGUAAAGGGAGCGUAGACGGCGAUGCAAGUCUGAAGUGAAAGGCGGGGGCUCAACCCCUGGACUGCAUUGGAAACUGUAAGGCUGGAGUGCAGGAGAGGUAAGUGGAAUUCCUGGUGUAGCGGUGAAAUGCGUAGAUAUUAGGAGGAACACCAGUGGCGAAGGCGGCUUACUGGACUGUAACUGACGUUGAGGCUCGAAAGCGUGGGUAGCAAACAGGAUUAGAUACCCGAGUAGUC